RNAcentral lists this small RNA (69 nucleotides) under Arabidopsis thaliana (thale cress). RNAcentral describes it as "ATSL196820". The record is from RNAcentral. Lineage: Eukaryota; Viridiplantae; Streptophyta; Magnoliopsida; Brassicales; Brassicaceae.
CGCUCUCUCUCUCUCUCUCUCUCUCUCUCUCUCUAUCUUAACUCAACUAUUCAGUUUCAAUUUUCAAAU